This 320-nucleotide long non-coding RNA is filed under the name Elaeis guineensis (African oil palm). Its description in RNAcentral is "long non-coding RNA (EGUI_LNC052446)". Lineage: Eukaryota; Viridiplantae; Streptophyta; Magnoliopsida; Arecales; Arecaceae. The record is from RNAcentral.
GAGGUCAAGGUGAAGAUUAAGAUUGAGUCGAGGUGAAGAUCGAGGCUAAGCUAUCAAGUCCAAGGUAUUUCACCAAGUCGAGGAAAAGAUCAAGACUAAGAUAGAGCUACCAAGCCAAAGAUCGAGCUAAAAAUUAAGACUAAGCCGAGAUGAAGAUCGAGAUUGAGCUAUCAAGCUUAAUGCACUUCACCAAGCCAAGGUGAAGAUGAAGACCGAAGCUGAGGUCCCAAAGGCCAACCUUCAAAAAAUCGAGCUCCCAAAAGCCGAACUCUCAAAGUAAGAGCUCCCAAAGGUCGAACUCUCAAAGCAAAAGCUCCCAA